CGAAGCAACGCGAAGAACCUUACCAGGGCUUGACAUCCCCCUGACCGGUACAGAGAUGUGCCUUCCCUUCGGGGCAGGGGUGACAGGUGGUGCAUGGUUGUCGUCAGCUCGUGUCGUGAGAUGUUGGGUUAAGUCCCGCAACGAGCGCAACCCUUGACCUGUGUUACCAGCGCGUAAAGGCGGGGACUCACAGGUGACUGCCGGCGUAAGUCGGAGGAAGGUGGGGAUGACGUCAAAUCAUCAUGCCCUUUAUGUCCUGGGCUACACACGUGCUACAAUGGGCGGUACAACGGGAAGCGAGACCGCGAGGUGGAGCGAAACCCAAAAAGCCGUUCGUAGUUCGGAUUGCAGGCUGCAACUCGCCUGCAUGAAGCCGGAAUUGCUAGUAAUCGCGGAUCAGCAUGCCGCGGUGAAUCCGUUCCCGGGCCUUGUACACACCGCCCGUCACACCACGAGAGUCGGCAACACCCGAAGUCGGUGGGGUAACCCUUUUGGGGGCCAGCCGCCGAAGGUGGGGCUGAUGAUUGGGGUGAAGUCGUAACAAGGUAGCCGUAUCGGAAGGUGCGGCUGGAUCA
This 575-nucleotide ribosomal RNA is filed under the name uncultured Alicyclobacillaceae bacterium. RNAcentral's name for it is "bacterial SSU rRNA". It matches the Rfam family "Bacterial small subunit ribosomal RNA", at positions 952 to 1525 of the family's 1533-position model. The record is from RNAcentral. Lineage: Bacteria; Bacillati; Bacillota; Bacilli; Caryophanales; Alicyclobacillaceae.